GGUACAGUCGGCUAUAGCUACCACUCACCCCCAUUUUCAGCCGCUUAGCCGCUCUCGCUCCUGGGAAGUAUAGUGCCCCUUUCUCUAUCGAGCACCUCUUUGUCUCUCACACACACGAAUAAAGGAAACACUGACGUCUGUUGCUGAGAUUCCGGGCUAUUAUUAGCAUUGUCGGCCGGUUGAAGAGACCGUCUAUAGGCUCCGUCUCAUUUAUUGAACUCACAUCCCUGUACAGCACCAAUUUCGGGCAGCAAUCUCCUCAGUACGACGACACCGCGAUGCAGACAGUUUCCGUCGUCGCCAUGAAGCUGUUCUUGUUCGCCGCCAUAGUGGCAGAAAUACUACUGAUUGUCCAGGCGCAAGAAGGCAACAAUGGACGUGGUGGAGGCGGAGGACCAAAAUACAACUGAGGCUGCCUCAUCGGUGGUGUCCUCGGACCUCAGGGUGCCGAACAGGCGACCGUACAAUGGACUUCAUAAUGAUAUCGCGUUUGGCUGAAGUCUUUGAAGAGCGGCGCACGUUACCGCGAGUCAUCAAUAAAGUACUAGUAUAGUGACGAGAAAGCUG
This 567-nucleotide long non-coding RNA is filed under the name Dermacentor andersoni. Its description in RNAcentral is "uncharacterized LOC126530418". Lineage: Eukaryota; Metazoa; Arthropoda; Arachnida; Ixodida; Ixodidae. The record is from RNAcentral.